RNAcentral lists this non-coding RNA (23 nucleotides) under Arabidopsis thaliana (thale cress). Lineage: Eukaryota; Viridiplantae; Streptophyta; Magnoliopsida; Brassicales; Brassicaceae. The record is from RNAcentral.
GGUGUACUGCACAUGCUCCAUGA